This 936-nucleotide ribosomal RNA is filed under the name Triticum aestivum (bread wheat). RNAcentral's name for it is "partial small subunit ribosomal RNA". The record is from RNAcentral. Lineage: Eukaryota; Viridiplantae; Streptophyta; Magnoliopsida; Poales; Poaceae.
AUGGCUCAGGCUCCAGGCCGCGCCGCCUCCGCCGUGCGGCUCUUCGACGCGCACUGCCACCUGCAGGACCCCCGCAUCGCGGCGGCCGCCCCCUCACUCAUACGCGCCGCCACAGCCUCCGGCGUCGGCCGGUUCGCGGUCAACGGCACCUCCGAGAAAGACUGGCACCUGGUGAAGCAGAUGGCCCAGGAGCACCCGGCUAUCAUCCCCUGCUUCGGCCUCCACCCAUGGUGGGUGCCGGAGAGGUCGCCCGAUUGGAUGGAUUCGCUCCGGCAGUUCUUCUCGGAGACCCCAGAGGCGGCUGUUGGAGAGACUGGUCUGGACAAGGGAUCGCAUGGAAAAACUAUUGACUUCGGAGAACAGGUUGAAGUAUUCGAACGACAACUUGAACUUGCUAAGGAAUUGGAGAAACCUGUUUCUGUUCAUUGUGUACGUGCCUUCGGCGAUCUUCUGGAAAUACUAAAGCGUACUGGGCCUUUCCCAGCAGGUGUGCUGUUGCAUUCUUAUCUGGGGUCUGCAGAAAUGGUGCCCGGCCUUGCAAAUUUAGGUUGUUACUUUUCAUUGUCUGGUUUCCUUACAGGCCUGAAAUCCACUAAGGCAAAGAAAAUGCUCAAAGCAAUACCCUUGGACAGAAUUCUGUUAGAGACAGAUGCACCAGAUGCAGUACCAAGGUUGGACAAUGUUUCUCUAGUUACAGUCCCUGUGGACACUUCAGAUGCAGAUAUUGAAAUGUUCCAGGGCGAUUCGACCUCUCAGGCGGCUACCCCUUCAAAAGAAUCCUUGAAUCAUCCAGCUAACAUCCACAUUGUUUUGAAGUAUGUGGCAUCGCUGCUUGAAAUGCCGGAAGCAGAACUCGCCGAGGCGAGCUACAGGAACGCCACCAAACUGUUCUCCUACCCUGGAUCCAAAGUUCACCCCAAAGCUGAAACUGCGUGA